AAUCAACGCUGGCGGCGUGCCUCAGACAUGCAAGUCGAACGCGAAAGCCUCCUUCGGGGGGCAAGUAGAGUGGCGCACGGGUGAGUAACACGUAGGUAAUCUACCUUUGGAUUGGGAAUAACCACCGGAAACGGUGGCUAAUACCGAAUAAUGCAGCGGCACCUAAUGGUGACAGUUGUUAAAGCGGGGGAUCGCAAGACCUCGCGUCUGAAGAGGAGCCUGCGGCAGAUUAGCUAGUUGGUAGGGUAACGGCUUACCAAGGCGAUGAUCUGUAGCCGGCCUGAGAGGGCGGUCGGCCACACUGACACUGACAUACGGGUCAGACUCCUACGGGAGGCAGCAGUCGGGAAUUUUGGGCAAUGGGCGAAAGCCUGACCCAGCAACGCCGCGUGAAGGAUGAAAUCCCUCGGGAUGUAAACUUCGCAAGAACGGGAAGAAUAAGUAAGAGCUAACAUCUCUUACGAUGACGGUACUGUUUGUAAGCUCCGGCUAACUCCGUGCCAGCAGCCGCGGUAA
RNAcentral lists this ribosomal RNA (516 nucleotides) under uncultured bacterium. Its description in RNAcentral is "bacterial SSU rRNA". It matches the Rfam family "Bacterial small subunit ribosomal RNA", at positions 32 to 523 of the family's 1533-position model. The record is from RNAcentral.